This 180-nucleotide non-coding RNA is filed under the name bovine gut metagenome. The record is from RNAcentral.
CAGGUACUGCGGCAUAAUACCGCGGUUUAAUAAGGAACCGGGUGCGAUUCCCGGACGAACCCGUCACCGUGUUCGGUUGUCCAUGCUUCCUCCGCUCCGCCGCGGGGUGUCCAUUGAAGCGUCAGCUUUGAGAAGGCGAAGCGCGGACGAUAACCGUAAGCCGGGAGACUUGCCCGAAAG